RNAcentral lists this long non-coding RNA (829 nucleotides) under Fukomys damarensis (Damara mole-rat). Its description in RNAcentral is "lncRNA (ENSFDAG00000030270.1)". The record is from RNAcentral. Lineage: Eukaryota; Metazoa; Chordata; Mammalia; Rodentia; Bathyergidae.
CCCACAGGGAACCUGGCUCCUGCCCAAGUUCCUGCAGGCCGUGAACAGCAGCUCUGGGCUUAGAGUCAGUCGACCUGAUGUGCAGGCCCUGCCCAUGCCUGUUGCUUCACCUGUUGCCUCCUGUCAGUGGUCUCAUCGGAGCCUCACGACCUUCCCUCGGGCAGCAGACUUAGGAAGCACAGCCCAGCAAGCUGUCAGAGGCAGGGCUGCUUCCCGCCAGGCCACCCGCCACACCAACAGGGCCAGCACCAGCCGCCCUCCUUCCAGGGUAGCACAAGGACAGAUGGACAGAGAGACAGAUGGACAGAGGACAAACGGGCCACCAGGCAGCCCCACCACCUCGCCUGUGAUGGGUUUUGCACCAGGCAUCACUUGGACAUCACUUGUUUUAAGCAAUUAUUCAGUCAACACUGAGGCUUGACUGAUUAUAAAACACAUCUGCCAGCCUUGGGGGGAAACAGAGUCACGGUCACACCCCAGUGUCUUGAGUGUCAGCGGAUCAGAUCCGAGCUGGGGCCUGCCUACAAAGCCCAGCAGCCACACUGGAAACUUUAGGGCUCUUUCCCCAGCCUGUUCCCCAGGUCCCACAGCAGGAAGUUGCGGAGCCUCAGAGAAGUUCAAAGCCAGGCUGAGGUGAGCCACAUUCACAGACCAUGCUCUCCCCUCACAGCCGGGCCAACCUCAAAUGCAGGAGGAAAGCCAGGAUAUCAUGUCAAACACCUUCAGCCAAGGACCCUAUGGCAUGUUCCAGCCUGGCGCUCACAGGGAAGGGAAGGAAAAGAUGGGGUGCCUUUGUCUCCUGGGCCUUCCCCCUCCUCCCCCCCCUUCC